GCCUUGUUAGCUCAGUAGGCAGCGCGUUAGUCUCAUAAUCUGAAGGUCGUGAGUUCGAUCCUCACUCGAGGCA
Molecule: transfer RNA, 73 nt
Filed under: Saccoglossus kowalevskii
Lineage: Eukaryota; Metazoa; Hemichordata; Enteropneusta; Harrimaniidae
Description: tRNA-Met
Rfam family: tRNA
About the family: Transfer RNA (tRNA) molecules are approximately 80 nucleotides in length. Their secondary structure includes four short double-helical elements and three loops (D, anti-codon, and T loops).
Source: RNAcentral